This is a long non-coding RNA of Physella acuta, 2450 nucleotides long. RefSeq lists it as uncharacterized. Lineage: Eukaryota; Metazoa; Mollusca; Gastropoda; Physidae. The record is from RefSeq and is a predicted model, not a curated record.
UUCAGUUUAGUCCCAUAUUGUUUCUGCUUUAAAAAUUGUUUUAUUUGGUUUAUGUAAAGAUUUUAUUAUUUACAUUUGUAACAUAUUUUUUUCUGGAGAUCUGAGCAAGUUUUUAGCAUCUUUGUAUGUAGAUUGUUGUUGUUACGGGGCAUUAAGUUAAGCUGGGUAACUCUGCUUGUCUUGAAACUAAUAAGCUCAGAGCAUUGGGCCUGUUUUUCGGUGUACACUGGUAUCAUUUUGGUAUAUGGUUGUAAAACAUGUAAUUAGUUGUUUUUUUUUAAUAUAUAUAUUUAUGCUUAUUUUUUUUUAAUUGGGUAUUCUUUUAUUUUGUCGGCUUUGUUUGGUUUUGAUAAGUCCCAAGUCGUCAUACCAUGUUUUCUAUUCACAACACUUAUAACUGAUUGAUGUGGAUAAUGCUAUUGUUAAAACGGGUGAACUUCAACGGUUUGAUAUUUUUGUCUGUAUCUUAUAGAGCUAUAUACAAUUUUUUAAUAAGAAAUUUCAUACAUACAAUGCUUUAUCUUAAAACUAGAUAAAGGGAUUUUUUUUGUAAUGAUCAAUUUAUUCUAGCCUUAUGAUAAGGUUGUCCCUAUUCUAGCCUUAUGAUAAGGUUGUCCCCAUUCUAGCCUUAUAAGGUUGUCCCUAUUCUAGCCUUGUUAUAAUAAGGUUGUCUCUAUUCUAGCCUUAUAAUGCUAAGGUUGUCCCUAUACAGGGAGGGUUGUUCAACCAGUCAAAUAUUAUGUUGCUCACUGGUAUUUUCAUAUAGUUUACUAUACACCUGAUGUACAUACACUUUUAGCUGCUGAUAUUAUGUACAUACACAUCAUAUUCUUUAUAUUAUUGCUGUCAUACUAACAUUCCGUGUCGUUUGUUUUUGUGUAAGUAAAAAAUUUUUUUUUUUCAAAUCAGGAAUGUGAAUAGAAGCAGAUUUAGUAGAUUUAAUCUCUGUGUUGGUAUGGUAAAAAGUGUGGGUUUUUUUUUUUACUACACCAGUAAGUACUACACCGAAAAUCUCAAGUUUGAAUCCAUGUUCACAUCAGUAGAACAUCCCUGAGUCCACCCAGCUCUAAUGGGUACCCAACUCAUGUUAGCGAAAGUAAAGGCGGCUGUGCAAUGUGCUGACCACACCUUUCCUUCAUUUGCUGAGGUCAAAAAACAAAUGAACUCUACUUCAUCUGGCCAGUGGAUGGCUAGGUCUAAAGAGGAAUCUUUACUUUAAUGAGUUGAGGGUUAAUUGAUGAUGCUCAGCUUUUGUUAAGGCAGUUCUGAUGGGUGCCUGGUUUUGAUCAGAAAUUAUUUGCUGGCCAUUUUACUGACAACCCAAUCACUUAGGUGUGAUGAUUAGACAGUAAUGUAUACUGUACCUUUAUUGUGUGUCUGAAUGCUGUAUAGACAAAAGUUUAAGUAUGAUAUCUGAAUGCUGUAUAAAACAAAGUGAAGUGUGAAAUUGAUGUCUAAAUGCUGUAUAGACUAUAGUGUAAGUAUAGAAUAGACAGUAGUGUAAGUAUGAAAUUGAUGUCUGAAUGCUGGUAUGAAAUGGAUGUCUGAAUGCUGUAAAGACAAUAGUGUCAGUAUGAUAUCUAAUGCAGUAUAAAACUAAGUGAAGUGUGAAAUUGAUGUCUGAAUACUGUAUAAAAACCAAGUGUAUGUAUGAAAUUGAUGUCUGAAUGCUGUAUAAAAGUGUAAGUAUGAAAUUAAUGUCUGAAUGCUGUAUAGAUAAUAGUGUAAGUAUGAAAUUGAUGUCUGAAUGCUGUAUAAAAGUGUAAGUAUGAAAUUAAUGUCUGAAUGCUGUAUAGAUAAUAGUGUAAGUAUGAAAUUGAUGUCUGAAUGCUGUAUAGACAAUAGUGUAAGUAUGAAAUUGAUGUCUGAAUGCUGGUAUGAAAUUGAUGUCUGAAUGCUGUAAAGACAAUAGAGUAAGUAUGAUAUUGAUGUCUGAAUGCUGUAUAAAAGUGUAAGUAUGACAUUGAUGUCUGAAUGCUGUAUAAAAGUGUAAGUAUGAUAUUGAUGAUGAAUGAAGUUGCAUGAGUCAUGCUCCUGAUGUUGUGACUGGCAAUAGAACCAUCUGUUGUAUUGCCUCUCUUGUUUGUGAAGAGUUCUAUACUAACAACUAGCAUGUACACAUUACACUACACCAUGUACAUAGGACAGACACAACUGAGAUCAUUUGUAAGUAAAUAUUUCAUGUCUUAGUUUCAUGCAUUGGAUAGUAUCUUUUAUUUUAAAUCAUUUCUUCCAUGUCCACAUUUCAUUGAAAUGUUGGUUUUAAAGGCAAUCAUUGUAGUUUUUACUGACUUAAUUAGGGCUGGCUACUAACAUUAUUUUAUUUUAUUAAGGUGAAUCCUAUGGUUGUGAUUUUUAAGAAAAAUCCUAUCUGUGGGAUUUUGUUUUACAGCUUGCUUGAUAGCUAAGAAAAGAUCACUUUUUAAAAUAAAAAUCUCCUGUUCAUGAGA